RNAcentral lists this long non-coding RNA (297 nucleotides) under Erythranthe guttata (spotted monkey flower). RNAcentral's name for it is "long non-coding RNA (EGUT_LNC000885)". Lineage: Eukaryota; Viridiplantae; Streptophyta; Magnoliopsida; Lamiales; Phrymaceae. The record is from RNAcentral.
UAUUGGUGGCGUUUUUGGUGGAUAUACCGACGACAAUUUUGAAGAAGAAGGAAAUUCAGAUAUGACUUCCAGAGCUAUUGUUCCCGACCACCAACCCAGAGGUAGUAUUGUAAACCCCAUGGAUUUUUUUUACUUUUGUAUUUUUUGUGAAUUGAAUGUCAACGAUGACCAGAAACAAUUUUUUUAUUUAUUUAAUUUCUUAUUUUGUGUGUCUUGGUGGGAUCUUUGUAUUGGAAAAAAUAUGUUGUUUACUGAAUUUAUGAUGAUAAUAAUAUCUUUCGAGGGCUCGAUUGUGUG